UAGAUCAUGUACCAGGAAUAGAAAAAGCGUGUUAAUGGUGCUAUACUGGGAUCUGUCAUAGGAGUUUCCAUUUUAGGGAUCAUAAUUGGAGUUGCAGUUUUCAUAUUCUGGAAGAAGAGAAAGGCUAAUGAAGAUGAGGAGGAUUAUCUAGAUCAUGUACCAGGAAUGCCGACUAGAUUUUCUUAUGAUGAUCUAAAGUCUGCAACGGAGAACUUCACCAAGAAGCUUGGUCAAGGAGGAUUUGGGUCAGUUUUUGAAGGGUGCUUAGUGGAUGGCACAAAGAUUGCAG
This 289-nucleotide unclassified non-coding RNA is filed under the name Hevea brasiliensis (rubber tree). The record is from RNAcentral. Lineage: Eukaryota; Viridiplantae; Streptophyta; Magnoliopsida; Malpighiales; Euphorbiaceae.